RNAcentral lists this ribosomal RNA (218 nucleotides) under uncultured bacterium. RNAcentral's name for it is "partial 16S ribosomal RNA". It matches the Rfam family "Bacterial small subunit ribosomal RNA", at positions 328 to 539 of the family's 1533-position model. The record is from RNAcentral.
ACGCUCGACACCUACGGGGGGCAGCAGUGAGGAAUAUUGGUCAAUGGGCGCUAGCCUGAACCAGCCAAGUAGCGUGAAGGAUGAAGGCUCUAUGGGUCGUAAACUUCUUUUAUAUAAGAAUAAAGUGCAGUAUGUAUACUGUUUUGUAUGUAUUAUAUGAAUAAGGAUCGGCUAACUCCGCGCCAGUAGCCGCGGUAAUCUGAGCGGGCUGGCAAGGC